Molecule: ribosomal RNA, 439 nt
Filed under: Nonomuraea sp. XM-11-4
Lineage: Bacteria; Bacillati; Actinomycetota; Actinomycetes; Streptosporangiales; Streptosporangiaceae
Description: bacterial SSU rRNA
Rfam family: Bacterial small subunit ribosomal RNA
Source: RNAcentral
AGUCGAGCGGAAAGGCCCUUCGGGGUACUCGAGCGGCGAACGGGUGAGUAACACGUGAGCAACCUGCCCCUGACUCUGGGAUAAGCCCGGGAAACUGGGUCUAAUACCGGAUACGACCGCCUCCGGCAUCGGGUGGUGGUGGAAAGAUUUCUUGGUCGGGGAUGGGCUCGCGGCCUAUCAGCUUGUUGGUGGGGUAGUGGCCUACCAAGGCGACGACGGGUAGCCGGCCUGAGAGGGCGACCGGCCACACUGGGACUGAGACACGGCCCAGACUCCUACGGGAGGCAGCAGUGGGGAAUAUUGCGCAAUGGGCGGAAGCCUGACGCAGCGACGCCGCGUGGGGGAUGACGGCCUUCGGGUUGUAAACCUCUUUCAGCAGGGACGAAGUUGACGUGUACCUGCAGAAGAAGCGCCGGCUAACUACGUGCCAGCAGCGCGG